UACGUAUGGUGCAAGCGUUAUUCGGAUUUACUGGGUGUAAAGGGAGCGUAGACGGCAUAGCAAGUCUGAAGUGAAAUGCGGGGGCUCAACCCCUGAACUGCUUUGGAAACUGUUAAGCUGGAGUGUCGGAGAGGUUAGUGGAAUUCCUAGUGUAGCGGUGAAAUGCGUAGAUAUUAGGAGGAACACCGGUGGCGAAGGCGGCUAACUGGACGAUAACUGACGUUGAGGCUCGAAAGCGUGGGGAG
RNAcentral lists this ribosomal RNA (245 nucleotides) under uncultured Lachnospiraceae bacterium. Its description in RNAcentral is "partial 16S ribosomal RNA". It matches the Rfam family "Bacterial small subunit ribosomal RNA", at positions 524 to 768 of the family's 1533-position model. The record is from RNAcentral. Lineage: Bacteria; Bacillati; Bacillota; Clostridia; Lachnospirales; Lachnospiraceae.